AACGAUAAAGGCAAACUUGGUGAAAGCCAAGGACGCAAAGCCAUGGGUCUUCCAUGUUAAGGUGAAGAUAGCCGGGUUACCAUAU
This 85-nucleotide non-coding RNA is filed under the name Desulfosporosinus sp. RNAcentral's name for it is "c-di-GMP sequence". It matches the Rfam family "c-di-GMP-I-GGC riboswitch aptamer". Lineage: Bacteria; Bacillati; Bacillota; Clostridia; Eubacteriales; Desulfitobacteriaceae. The record is from RNAcentral.